Molecule: ribosomal RNA, 502 nt
Filed under: uncultured bacterium
Lineage: Bacteria
Description: bacterial SSU rRNA
Rfam family: Bacterial small subunit ribosomal RNA
Source: RNAcentral
GAACGCUGGCGGCGUGCCUAACACAUGCAAGUCGAACGGAGAUUAACGCUGAUGAAGCUUCGGCAGAUUCUGUUAAAUCUUAGUGGCGGACGGGUGAGUAACGCGUGGGCAACCUGCCUCAUACUGGGGGAUAACAGCUGGAAACGACUGUUAAUACCGCAUAAGCGCACAGCAUCGCAUGAUGCAGUGUGAAAAACUCCGGUGGUAUGAGAUGGGCCCGCGUCAGAUUAGCCAGUUGGCAGGGUAACGGCCUACCAAAGCGACGAUCUGUAGCCGGCCUGAGAGGGCGGACGGCCACAUUGGGACUGAGACACGGCCCAAACUCCUACGGGAGGCAGCAGUGGGGGAUAUUGCACAAUGGAGGAAACUCUGAUGCAGCGACGCCGCCGUGAGUGAAGAAGUAUUUCGGUAUGUAAAGCUCUAUCAGCAGGGAAGAAAGACUCGUAAGAGAGAUGACGGUACCUGACUAAGAAGCCCCGGCUAACUACGUGCCAGCCGCCGC